This 469-nucleotide long non-coding RNA is filed under the name Numida meleagris (helmeted guineafowl). Its description in RNAcentral is "lncRNA (ENSNMEG00000011239.1)". Lineage: Eukaryota; Metazoa; Chordata; Aves; Galliformes; Numididae. The record is from RNAcentral.
GCUGCACAGUUAGAGAGUCCCUUCACCAGCUGAGUAAAUAUGUGACCUUGAGCCAGAUUGAAAUUGGUAAACUGGAGACCAAGAGGAUGUGGCAAUGGAUAGUCUAUUAAAUAAAGAAAACAUUUCAAAGGACUAAAUUAGAUGAAGCCAGAGACAGAUUUGUGAUAUCUCAUCCUUCUCCCAUAAACAAUAAGAAGUCAGGUAAGUCCCUCAAGCAGAGUGCAUUGAAGGUGACAGAACAGAGAUCUUGCAGAGACCUCAUCAAACGCAGACAGUAUUCAGUAUUAAUUCAGUGUCCAUUUUGAUUAUUUGCAGUCAGGUGGGAAAUGAAGCUUGAAUGACGACUUUAUUUAGUAAGUCAUAGGCUACUGAAAAUGUUAUGAAAUUAUACAACCCACAUGGAGAACAGUGGGGAUUUUUAUUAGCAAUGCUUGAUAAGAUACAGUGGAAAUGUGAGUAAUUCUCAUUA